UAGUAUGGCCUUGCAAAGUUAUUUUUUGAAGUGCAAACAAAGAGACAUGUGUCCCCGCGAAAGUCCAGAUGGCACUUACAAUAUUAAGAUUCGUGGUAUAUAGCAGAAACUGGAUUGAUUACAGGGUGCCAAUGCCAAAAUACCGCAAAUGGUAAUAUUGUAAAUGCCAUCUGAACCUUUGCGGGGACAUCUGUCUCUUUGCUUGCACUUCAAAAGAUUGCUCUGCCAAAUCUUUUGAGAGGAUAGCAAAGAAUUUAGUUUGUUCUUCAAGGCACUGCACUGAUUUUUGGUAUCCGAGUUUUCCGUUUUUUACUGACCGUCUGUAAAGUAAAGCAAAAACGACACAAGCAGCACGAAAAUAAAGAAUUUAAUUUCCUAGCACA
Drosophila takahashii is the source of this 383-nucleotide long non-coding RNA. RefSeq lists it as uncharacterized. NCBI's taxonomy places the organism in Eukaryota, Metazoa, Arthropoda, Insecta, Diptera, Drosophilidae. The record is from RefSeq and is a predicted model, not a curated record.